Molecule: ribosomal RNA, 754 nt
Filed under: uncultured bacterium
Lineage: Bacteria
Description: bacterial SSU rRNA
Rfam family: Bacterial small subunit ribosomal RNA
Source: RNAcentral
CGAGCGAGCUUGCCUAGAUGAUUUUAGUGCUUGCACUAAAUGAAAUUAGAUACAAGCGAGCGGCGGACGGGUGAGUAACACGUGGGUAACCUGCCCAAGAGACUGGGAUAACACCUGGAAACAGAUGCUAAUACCGGAUAACAACACUAGACGCAUGUCUAGAGUUUGAAAGAUGGUUCUGCUAUCACUCUUGGAUGGACCUGCGGUGCAUUAGCUAGUUGGUAAGGUAACGGCUUACCAAGGCAAUGAUGCAUAGCCGAGUUGAGAGACUGAUCGGCCACAUUGGGACUGAGACACGGCCCAAACUCCUACGGGAGGCAGCAGUAGGGAAUCUUCCACAAUGGACGAAAGUCUGAUGGAGCAACGCCGCGUGAGUGAAGAAGGGUUUCGGCUCGUAAAGCUCUGUUGGUAGUGAAGAAAGAUAGAGGUAGUAACUGGCCUUUAUUUGACGGUAAUUACUUAGAAAGUCACGGCUAACUACGUGCCAGCAGCCGCGGUAAUACGUAGGUGGCAAGCGUUGUCCGGAUUUAUUGGGCGUAAAGCGAGUGCAGGCGGUUCAAUAAGUCUGAUGUGAAAGCCUUCGGCUCAACCGGAGAAUUGCAUCAGAAACUGUUGAACUUGAGUGCAGAAGAGGAGAGUGGAACUCCAUGUGUAGCGGUGGAAUGCGUAGAUAUAUGGAAGAACACCAGUGGCGAAAGCGGCUCUCUGGUCUGCAACUGACGCUGAGGCUCGAAAGCAUGGGUAGCGAACAGGA